CCUACGGGCGGCAGCAGUGAGGAAUAUUGGUCAAUGGACGAGAGUCUGAACCAGCCAAGUAGCGUGAAGGAUGACUGCCCUAUGGGUUGUAAACUUCUUUUAUAUGGGAAUAAAAUGUUCCACGUGUGGGGUUUUGUAUGUACCAUAUGAAUAAGGAUCGGCUAACUCCGUGCCAGCAGCCGCGGUAAUACGGAGGAUCCGAGCGUUAUCCGGAUUUAUUGGGUUUAAAGGGAGCGUAGGUGGCUUGUUAAGUCAGUGGUGAAAGUCUGCGGCUCAACCGUAAAAUUGCAGUUGAAACUGGGAGUCUUGAGUAUAGUAGAGGCGGGCGGAAUUCGUGGUGUAGCGGUGAAAUGCUUAGAUAUCACGAAGAACUCCGAUUGCGAAGGCAGCUCACUGGACCGUAACUGACACUGAGGCUCGAAAGUGUGGGUAUCAAACAGGAUUAGAUACCCUUGUAGUC
Molecule: ribosomal RNA, 460 nt
Filed under: uncultured bacterium
Lineage: Bacteria
Description: partial 16S ribosomal RNA
Rfam family: Bacterial small subunit ribosomal RNA
Source: RNAcentral